GACGUAGGGUGCGAGCGUUGUCCGGAUUUAUUGGGCGUAAAGAGCUCGUAGGCGGCUCGUCGCGUCGGCCGUGAAAACCCGCAGCUUAACUGCGGGCCUGCGGUUGAUACGGGCGGGCUAGAGUGCGGUAGGGGAGACUGGAAUUCCUGGUGUAGCGGUGAAAUGCGCAGAUAUCAGGAGGAACACCGGUGGCGAAGGCGGUUCUCUGGGCAUUACCUGACGCUGAGGAGCGAAAGUGUGGGGAGCGAACAGG
Molecule: ribosomal RNA, 253 nt
Filed under: uncultured bacterium
Lineage: Bacteria
Description: partial 16S ribosomal RNA
Rfam family: Bacterial small subunit ribosomal RNA
Source: RNAcentral